UUGCUGGAUGCUGACGUGCGGCGGACGGGUGAGUAAUGCAUAGGAAUCUGCCCGGUAGUGGGGGAUAACCUGGGGAAACCCAGGCUAAUACCGCAUACGUCCUACGGGAGAAAGGGGGCUUCGGCUCCCGCUAUCGGAUGAGCCUAUGCCGGAUUAGCUGGUUGGUGAGGUAACGGCUCACCAAGGCGACGAUCCGUAGCUGGUCUGAGAGGAUGAUCAGCCACAUCGGGACUGAGACACGGCCCGAACUCCUACGGGAGGCAGCAGUGGGGAAUAUUGGACAAUGGGGGCAACCCUGAUCCAGCCAUGCCGCGUGUGUGAAGAAGGCCCUCGGGUUGUAAAGCACUUUCAGCGAGGAAGAACGCCUAUCGGUUAAUACCCGGUAGGAAAGACAUCACUCGCAGAAGAAGCACCGGCUAACUCCGUGCCAGCAGCCGCGGUAAUACGGAGGGUGCGAGCGUUAAUCGGAAUUACUGGGCGUAAAGCGCGCGUAGGCGGCGUGAUAAGCCGGUUGUGAAAGCCCCGGGCUCAACCUGGGAACGGCAUCCGGAACUGUCACGCUAGAGUGCAGGAGAGGAAGGUAGAAUUCCCGGUGUAGCGGUGAAAUGCGUAGAGAUCGGGAGGAAUACCAGUGGCGAAGGCGGCCUUCUGGACUGACACUGACGCUGAGGUGCGAAAGCGUGGGUAGCAAACAGGAUUAGAUACCCUGGUAGUCCACGCCGUAAACGAUGUCGACCAGCCGUUGGGUGCCUUGAGCACUUUGUUGGCGAAGUUAACSCGAUAAGUCGACCGCCUGGGGAGUACGGCCCGCMAGGUUAAAACUCAAAUGAAUUGGACGGGGGCCCCCACMAAAAAGAGGAACAAUGUGGUUUAAUUCGAAACCCAACAAAAAAAAACCUUUACCUACCCCUUGG
This 914-nucleotide ribosomal RNA is filed under the name Halomonas sp. DS3.1.pah.3. Its description in RNAcentral is "bacterial SSU rRNA". It matches the Rfam family "Bacterial small subunit ribosomal RNA", at positions 77 to 991 of the family's 1533-position model. Lineage: Bacteria; Pseudomonadati; Pseudomonadota; Gammaproteobacteria; Oceanospirillales; Halomonadaceae. The record is from RNAcentral.